RNAcentral lists this ribosomal RNA (1056 nucleotides) under uncultured bacterium. RNAcentral describes it as "bacterial SSU rRNA". It matches the Rfam family "Bacterial small subunit ribosomal RNA", at positions 37 to 1052 of the family's 1533-position model. The record is from RNAcentral.
UGUCAGGGGUGCCGUGUACUAUAUCAGGUCAUACCAGAAACCGGAACUUCGGUUCUGGGGGUAAAGGGUUGCACAAGGUGAAAAACGCGUAAGUAAUCUACCCUUGGGUUUGGAAUAUCCCUCCGGAAGGCGGACUAAUACCGGAUAAAAUCUUUUGGAGGGAUCUGAUAGAUCAAAGGUGGCCUCUCCAUGGAUGCUACUGCCUGAGGAUGAGCCUGCGUCCCAUUAACUUGUUGGUAGGGUAAUGGCCUACCAAGGCUACGAUGGGUAACUGGUCUGAGAGGAUGAUCAGUCACACUGGAACUGGAACACGGUCCAGACUCCUACGGGAGGCAGCAGUGAGGAAUAUUGCGCAAUGGGGGAAACCCUGACGCAGCAACGCCGCGUGGGUGAAGAAGGCCUUCGGGUCGUAAAGCCCUGUCUAGAGGGAAGAAAUUCUCAAUGGAAUAAUACCCAUUGAGAUUGACGGUACCUCUGGAGGAAGCACCGGCUAACUCCGUGCCAGCAGCCGCGGUAAUACGGAGGGUGCGAGCGUUGUUCGGAAUUACUGGGCGUAAAGCGGGUGUAGGCGGUUUGUUAAGUCAGAUGUGAAAGCCCACGGCUCAACCGUGGAAGUGCAUCUGAAACUGGCUGACUUGAGUACCGGAGAGGGAAGUGGAAUUCCUGGUGUAGGGGUGAAAUCCGUAGAUAUCAGGAGGAACACCGGUGGCGAAGGCGACUUCCUGGACGGAUACUGACGCUGAGAUCCGAAAGCGUGGGGAGCAAACAGGAUUAGAUACCCUGGUAGUCCACGCCCUAAACGAUGGGCACUAGGUGCAGGGGGUGUUGACCCCUCCUGUGCCGCAGCUAACGCAUUAAGUGCCCCGCCUGGGGAGUACGGCCGCAAGGUUGAAACUCAAAGGAAUUGACGGGGGCCCGCACAAGCGGUGGAGCAUGUGGUUCAAUUCGACGCAACGCGAAGAACCUUACCUGGGCUUGACAUCCCGGGAACUCUGUGGAAACACGGAGGUGCCCCCUUUCGGGGGGAACCUGGUGACCAGGUGCCUGCAUGGCCUG